CAUGCCUCUUUGGGUAUUUGGGCUUUGCAUAGUAGGCUACCUGUGCGACAUGGUUUGCUAGUACCCACUGAUCAUCUUUAUAGCCGAGACUUUAGAGCUCCACGAUGGUUAGCCCAUACUCGCCCACAACAAUUGCCUUUGGCUUGACCCAUUGGCACCAAAAGAUCGGUAUCUAUAGUUCACCACCGUAGUCAAGUGCCCAUAUCUCUUCACUCUGCCCAUAGUAUGUCUUAGUCUCCCCUGUGGCCUCGUCGAUGCCCUCAUAUCAAACACCGCUAUUCUGUACUUCGCUCUUCCUGUCCUUCUCUUUUGUGUGAAUCCUAUAUCCAUUGAUAUCGUACCCAUGCCAUGAGGUUAUCUGG
Molecule: long non-coding RNA, 362 nt
Filed under: Sorghum bicolor (sorghum)
Lineage: Eukaryota; Viridiplantae; Streptophyta; Magnoliopsida; Poales; Poaceae
Description: long non-coding RNA (SBIC_LNC017285)
Source: RNAcentral